UACGUAGGGUGCGAGCGUUAAUCGGAAUUGCUGGGCGUAAAGCGUGCGCAGGCGGUUGUGUAAGACAGGCGUGAAAUCCCCGGGCUCAACCUGGGAACUGCGCUUGUGACUGCACAGCUAGAGUACGGCAGAGGGGGGUGGAAUUCCACGUGUAGCAGUGAAAUGCGUAGAGAUGUGGAGGAACACCGAUGGCGAAGGCAGCCCCCUGGGCCGAUACUGACGCUCAUGCACGAAAGCGUGGGUAGCAAACAGGAUUAGAUACCCUGGUAGUCCACGCCCUAAACGAUGUCAACUAGGUGUUGGGUGGGUAAAACCAUUUAGUACCGUAGCUAACGCGUGAAGUUGACCGCCUGGGGAGUACGGCCGCAAGGUUAAAACUCAAAGGAAUUGACGGGGACCCGCACAAGCGGUGGAUGAUGUGGAUUAAUUCGAUGCAACGCGAAAAACCUUACCUACCCUUGACAUGUCCAGAAGCCCGGAGAGAUUUGGGUGUGCCCGAAAGGGAACUGGAACACAGGUGCUGCAUGGCUGUCGUCAGCUCGUGUCGUGAGAUGUUGGGUUAAGUCCCGCAACGAGCGCAACCCUUGUCGUUAAUUGCCAUCAUUUAGUUGGGCACUUUAACGAGACUGCCGGUGACAAACCGGAGGAAGGUGGGGAUGACGUCAAGUCCUCAUGGCCCUUAUGGGUAGGGCUUCACACGUCAUACAAUGGUCGGUACAGAGGGUUGCCAAGCCGCGAGGUGGAGCCAAUCCCAGAAAGCCGAUCGUAGUCCGGAUUGCAGGCUGCAACUCGCCUGCAUGAAGUCGGAAUCGCUAGUAAUCGCGGAUCAGCAUGUCGCGGUGAAUACGUUCCCGGGUCU
Molecule: ribosomal RNA, 859 nt
Filed under: uncultured bacterium
Lineage: Bacteria
Description: SSU rRNA
Rfam family: Bacterial small subunit ribosomal RNA
Source: RNAcentral